GAGCCGGGCGCGGGGCGCAAGAGCGGAGCUGCGCGAGCCGCUGCGGAGGGAAGGGCUCCUAGCCAAUUGGGGUCUUUGAGGCGAAUGCGAGGCUGGGGCCGGUUGCCUACCGGCCGCUUCUCGCCGAGGCAGUCCAGACUUUUCCCCCGGCGGUGCCCGCUCCAAGACAGCAUCUGUCAACGCUCCUCUUCUCCCCUCCUCCUCCUGCCGGGCCGGGCUCCGCCGGCUGCGGCCGAGAGGACGCGGGACCCGGCGCGGUGAGCCCAUCAGCUGUCAGGCGAGCGGCGAAGCGGCUGGAGGGCGGCGAGAGACACACAAAGAACGCGGUGGGCGGCGGCGGCGAAAGGGGACGGCAACUCCUCCCCGCGCCCGCCGGUGCCACCGCCGGCCGUGCUUGUUCCGAGGCCGCGCAGACAAUGCGGCCGGGCUCGUCCCCGCGUGCCCCAGAGUGCGGAGCGCCCGCGCUCCCCCGACCCCAACUUGACCGUCUCCCGGCUCGCCCAGCCCCCUCCCGGGGUAGGGGCGCCCCCUCCCUCCGGUGGCCGGCGAAGGAAGUCGGUCCGCGGCCGCAGAUCCCGGCAACUUGCGAACCGGGAAAAGUUUGCGGCGCCUCCGCGGGGCGGCGCGACGCGGCCCGCCCCUCGCGUCCGCGGUCAUCGCGGGUGACUUUCUCGACUCGUCGUCAGCCGGGGCCGCAGCGCGGCCGGUGGGGACUGCGGGGCGGGCCGGAGUCCGUCCGAGGGCUCCCGCACCUCGGGCUGCGGAUUUCAGGUACUCCACUGGGCAUUUUCUCUUCAUGGAGCUUAUAGCAACAAAAGUGUUUUACAAAACACCAGACAUGUUGGCAUCAUCUCUUAGUUGGGCCAUGUGGCCAGGGAACCCUUCAUGAAACCACCUCUGCAGUCCUGGAGAGUUGCUGUAGAAGAAGGAAAAGAGAGGAAGACAACACAACACAGGAGGGGAUAAGUACCUCUGGACACAAUGGAAGUAGUAGUUGUUGAGCAGAGGGAAAGGGAUAGGAGAAGGAUGUGGACUGCAGUGCUGCAGUGCCAGGUAAUAACUUUGAUCAUGUACCUCCUUGGCUCAGGUGCUGUCUCUUCUACUCUCCUCCUUACUUGUACUACCUUAUUUAGCACUUAAUUAUAUACUUUCUUGACUCACUUUGAGACACACUGAUUAUGUGGUCUGCCUCAAAGACAGAAUCCUAGUUUUGGAUUUUAGCAUUACUGAUCUAUAGCCUUGCAGGGGCUUAAGGAUGGCAGCUGUCUCUCUCCCUUGGGAUCUAGCUUUUGCAAAUAUUGAAGGGAAGAGAUUUCUUUGAUCUUAUAGGAAUAGAUCCACAGUUCCUCUCCAGAUUUGCUUUUAUAGAGAAGUGUGUGUCACCAAAACAAUGGAGAUACGGUCAGAGAGGCCCCUACCCCCAGAAUUUUAAUAUAAUUUUACUUUCUGGGGCAUUUAUUCUUGACAAAUACUUUCUCUCCUAUCAGCUCACUUGUUCCUCACAAAAACCCUAUAAGAUAUUAAUAUUAUUAAACAGACCCCUAUGAAGCACCUCAAGUCUUUCUCUCUUCCCACUUCCAUUCUUGCACACCUUUUGCUAGACUAGUCUCUGCGUUCAUCACAUCAGGUUUCUAAAAUAAAAGUCCCCUAAUAACUUUCUAUUUGUUCUCUCAUCAUAUUGAACCUUUUUUGCCUGGCUUAUAAGGUGGCCUUAAAACCCCAUUUUCCUCUAAACAUUGUCUCUGUAGUUCAGGAAUAUGGCAGGCUCAACACUAUGCUUGAGCCCAUAUUGCUUCCCUCAUUAGUGAUGCCUCCUCUCAGACCACCCAGAUUCUACUCAUUCUUCAAUUUCCAGCUUCUCCUUGGAGCCUUCCCAGAUCAUUAGCUUCUUAAAAAUCCCAGCUUUCUCUGAAUUCUGAUGGUAGCCCCCGUUAUUUGGACAAUUAUGUCCUGGUCUUAAAGUCCUAAUGGGAAAAAAAAGUACAUGAUGGACUUCAUGUAGAGAAGAAAGCACUGGACUGAGUUUUAAGACAGCUGCUAAGGAGCUGUGUGAGCCAAACCAGGUUACUUUACCUCUCUGGAUCUAUAUUUGCUGAUCUGUUAAGUGGAGACAAUUGGGUCAGAUAAUCUUGGUGGUCUUUGCUUAUUCUGAGGUUCUUGGACAACUUGGCCUAGUUCACGUGGGAUGGGAUUGAAGAUCUUACUGAGUUCUUGGAUGGAAAUGUCAGUAAUGGGCACUUAGUGCCUUCAGGACUUGUUCUAUACUAUCCCAGAAAUUUCUGAUGCUAAACUUGGCAAUUUUUAAAUGUCAUAUUCCUUUUCUCCAAACUCUUUAACCACAAGAAUUCAGGGAAGGUUAUGGGGGGUGACUUAGUUAUCUGGAUAAUACAUAUUGUGGACAAUAUAGCAUUAUCCUUGGGAAUGAUUUCAUAUUGUUGAAUAAAUAGGAUCAACUUCUUGAUAAACCUUAGUCCCAAGCAUUUCAUCUUCAUUGGAUAGUGUUACAUAGUAAUAUAUUUAUGUUUUCUUUUAAUCAUUUCAUAACUUGGAAAAUACUAACAUAGUCAAAACUCUAGGGUAGGUGAUACAUGAGUUUCUGUAGUAAUCUGGUUGGAGACAUGUUGUAAUUCUGUAUAUAUAUGUACAUUUAUCCCAUGCAUGUUAUGCCUAAACUAAGACGGAUACCCCUGAAUUAAGAGGUGCUGUUAUACAUUGACCAGGCUUAAGAAUAUCUCUUUAAAGUGUGUCGACAUUUAAUUGACCUUUGGAAGUUCAUUCUGUUAAUCAUACUCAAAGUGCUAAAGCUAUGGUUGACUGCUCUGGUGUUUUUAUAUUCAUUCGUGCUUUAGCAUAUAAAUUCUUCAGCAUAAUUGCUACUUAUUUAGCAAGAGUUUCCUUUAUUUGAAAAUGUGAGUUGUGCUUGUAUUUUUGUGUCUUUCUUUCUUUCUUUCUUUUUUUAAACUUUGCUUCAGGCUGGGUAGUGGUAGAGGUUUGAAUUAAAAUGUUUUCCUGUCAGUA
Molecule: long non-coding RNA, 3018 nt
Filed under: Homo sapiens (human)
Lineage: Eukaryota; Metazoa; Chordata; Mammalia; Primates; Hominidae
Description: non-protein coding LINC00472:58
Source: RNAcentral